UACGAAGGGGGCUAGCGUUGCUCGGAAUCACUGGGCGUAAAGCGCACGUAGGCGGCUUUUUAAGUCAGGGGUGAAAUCCUGGAGCUCAACUCCAGAACUGCCUUUGAUACUGAGGAUCUUGAGUUCGGGAGAGGUGAGUGGAACUGCGAGUGUAGAGGUGAAAUUCGUAGAUAUUCGCAAGAACACCAGUGGCGAAGGCGGCGCACUGGCCCGGUACUGACGCUGAGGUGCGAAAGCGUGGGGAGCAAACAGG
This 253-nucleotide ribosomal RNA is filed under the name uncultured bacterium. RNAcentral's name for it is "partial 16S ribosomal RNA". It matches the Rfam family "Bacterial small subunit ribosomal RNA", at positions 524 to 776 of the family's 1533-position model. The record is from RNAcentral.